GCCUGGCCUCGACAAGCUGGGGCAGGUUGUGUGCAUGCCUGCCUUCACCAUACUAAAAGGAGAGAAACAACUGCAGGAGGCUGGGAGAAAGGAGAGAUACUACUACUGGAGGCUGGGAGAAGGAGAGAUACUACUACUGGAGGCUGGUAGAAAGGAGAGAUACUACUACUGGAGGCUGGUUGAAAGGAGAGAUACCACUACUGGAGGCUGGGAGAAGGAGAGAUACUACUACUGGAGGCUGGUAGAAAGGAGAGAAACUACUGCUGGAGGCUGGGAGAAAGGAGAGAUACUACUGCUGGAGGCUGGGAGAAGGAGAGAUACUACUACUGGAGGCUGGUAGAAAGGAGAGAAACUACUGCUGGAGGCUGGGAGAAGGAGAGAUACUACUACUACUGGAGGCUGGGAGAAAGGAGUGAUACUACUACAGCUGGAGGCUGGGAGAAAGGAGAGAUACUACUACUGGAGGCUGGGAGAAAGGAGAGAUACUACUACUGCUGGAGGCUGGGAGACAGGAAAGAUACUACUACUGGAGGCUG
Long non-coding RNA from Oncorhynchus tshawytscha (Chinook salmon), 536 nucleotides. Lineage: Eukaryota; Metazoa; Chordata; Actinopteri; Salmoniformes; Salmonidae. The record is from Ensembl.